GAUCAUGGGCUCAGGAUGAACGCUAGCUACAGGCUUAACACAUGCAAGUCGAGGGGCAUCAGUUUGGUUUGCUUGCAAACCAAAGCUGGCGACCGGCGCACGGGUGAGUAACACGUAUCCAACCUGCCUCAUACUCGGGGAUAGCCUUUCGAAAGAAAGAUUAAUAUCCGAUAGCAUAUAUUUCCCGCAUGGGUUUUAUAUUAAAGAAAUUCGGUAUGAGAUGGGGAUGCGUUCCAUUAG
Molecule: ribosomal RNA, 240 nt
Filed under: uncultured bacterium
Lineage: Bacteria
Description: partial 16S ribosomal RNA
Rfam family: Bacterial small subunit ribosomal RNA
Source: RNAcentral